CCUACGGGUGGCAGCAGUGAGGAAUAUUGGUCAAUGGGCGCGAGCCUGAACCAGCCAAGUAGCGUGAAGGAUGACUGCCCUACGGGUUGUAAACUUCUUUUAUAAAGGAAUAAAGUGAGGCACGUGUGCCUUUUUGUAUGUACUUUAUGAAUAAGGAUCGGCUAACUCCGUGCCAGCAGCCGCGGUAAUGCGGAGGAACCGAGCGUUAUCCGGAUUUAUUGGGUUUAAAGGGAGCGGAGAGGGGUUGUUAAGGCAGUUGUGAAAGUUUGCGGCUCAAACGUAAAAUUGCAAUUGAUACUGGCAUUCGUUAGUACAGUUGAGGUAGGCGGAAUUCGUGGUGUAGCGGUGAAAUGCUU
Molecule: ribosomal RNA, 356 nt
Filed under: uncultured bacterium
Lineage: Bacteria
Description: partial 16S ribosomal RNA
Rfam family: Bacterial small subunit ribosomal RNA
Source: RNAcentral